Molecule: transfer RNA, 74 nt
Filed under: Verrucomicrobiia bacterium
Lineage: Bacteria; Pseudomonadati; Verrucomicrobiota; Verrucomicrobiia
Description: tRNA-Asn
Rfam family: tRNA
About the family: Transfer RNA (tRNA) molecules are approximately 80 nucleotides in length. Their secondary structure includes four short double-helical elements and three loops (D, anti-codon, and T loops).
Source: RNAcentral
UGCCUGGUCGGAUAAAAGUAGUCCGUCCGGUUGUUACCCGGAAUGUGCUGGUGCGAUUCCAGCCUGGGCAGCCA